GUCAUCCCCAUACCCCAUCCGGUAUGGGCACCAAAACCAUAAACCUCAAUACCCCGUCCGGUAUGAGGGUGAAACGGGUCAUCCCCAUACCUCGUCCGGUAUGGGCGCCAAAAACCAUAAACCUCAAUACCCCGUUCGGUAUGAGGGUGAAACAGGCCGUUCCCAUACCCCGUCCGGUAUGGGCGCCAAAACACAUAAGGUCUCCAUACCCCGUCUGAUAUGAGAGACCACGUUCCCGGUAGGGUUCCCUACGGACCCGGUCCGUCCACCAUCUCUCAAGAUAUCUAGUCAGGCUGUCCACGUUAUCCAUUUAUUAAUUCAUAUAUCUUUUUCUAUUUUUCUUGGUCUCAAUUAUCCAAUCAUGCGCAAACAUGUAAACCAAUAAUGAACACUAAACAAAACAACACAACAUCGGGUUCACCAUAAUUUAAACCAUAAUAAAAGAAACCAUGAUUCAUGCAUACGAAACCAUAAAAUAAACAUAUCAGAUACCAUACUGCAUUUAAAAUUAUAAAAUAGAUCAAACAACAACUGACCGACAAAUAUACCAUAUUCGGGCUCUAUUAACAACCUUAAGCAAUCAUACACAUCCAAUAAUUCACGAAAAUACUGUUUUAUCAUUUAUUGAACUUUAAUACCGUGAUAGGAAAAUAAGGUGAGAAAUUCUUACUUGUUUCGGGGUGUAAAAUCGGCUCUACAAUGUACCUAUGGGCUGUCCCUAAAUUUUCUGAAUUUUUUUUGAGAAACUGAAACGCACUACCGGUACCUGCACGUAUCCCAAAAAACCCCAAAUCAGACCCAGGGCCCCUUUUUGGCCAAUAUCAAAAUUCUGGCACGGCGGCUUCGCCGUGCUCCGACGACACCACCGCCGCCCGCGGCAGCAAUCUGCCUCGGGUUGGCCAUUUUUGGCCGAAUUCGACUAAACUUACAUUGGUUCCUGCGAUAAAACAACCCUAGGGCUCUCGGUGGGCCAAAAAAUCACGAAAAACUGAGACUUACCGGCGGUGGAGCUCUCGGGUGCGGCGGCUUCUCCGACACGAGUCACGAUUUGAUAUUUUGCUCCGGUUAACUUGUAGAGAAAAUGACGAUGAUCACAGUGGUGUAAAAAUUGCAUCGAACGGGAACCGAAAAGGGCCUCAUCGGAGGCAAAAACUGAGGGAAGCCGCGGCGGCACCGUUGAACUUCGGCAGUAUUUUUCGGCCGAUUAGCUGGUAGUUUGGCUCCGAUUUGGCCAUAGGCGUAUUCAACAUCGAAAAACGAGCCAAUGGGAGAAAAUUUACCUUGUUUGGCGGUCAAAAAAUCCUCCGGUGCUGUGGCGGGUGGCGGCGGUCGGCUCCUCCGGUGACUGGUUCUUCUUCUCCGGCAAAGGUACUGGCGGCUAGGGUUUGGGGUCGGGUGUGGGUGAGGUUAUUUAUAACAUUCCCCUUUUAAUCUCAGCCGUCCAUCACGAUUUAAUCUGCGCCAUCUGAUCACGAUUAAAAUGGAAAUAAAUUUAGGUCUUCCGUGCGUGAUUCAAUCUGGGCAGUCCGCACGUGUGAGAUCUGGGCCUCCGUAUGCGUGAGAUCUGGACCAUUCGAUCGCGUGCACGCGGAUCGCCCAC
RNAcentral lists this long non-coding RNA (1600 nucleotides) under Carica papaya (papaya). RNAcentral describes it as "long non-coding RNA (CPAP_LNC014650)". Lineage: Eukaryota; Viridiplantae; Streptophyta; Magnoliopsida; Brassicales; Caricaceae. The record is from RNAcentral.